UACGUAGGUGGCAAGCGUUGUCCGGAUUUACUGGGCGUAAAGGGCGUGCAGGCGGUCUGUUAAGUCUAGGGUGAGAGCUCCCGGCUCAACUGGGAGAGGUCCUUGGAUACUGGCGGACUUGAGGGAGGCAGAGGAAAGUGGAAUUCCCGGUGUAGUGGUGAAAUACGUAGAGAUUGGGAAGAACACCAGUGGCGAAGGCGGCUAUCUGGACGGUUUCUGACGCUAAGACGCGAAAGCGUGGGGAGCAAACAGG
This 253-nucleotide ribosomal RNA is filed under the name uncultured bacterium. Its description in RNAcentral is "partial 16S ribosomal RNA". It matches the Rfam family "Bacterial small subunit ribosomal RNA", at positions 524 to 776 of the family's 1533-position model. The record is from RNAcentral.